UACGAAGGGAGCUAGCGUUGUUCGGAAUCACUGGGCGUAAAGCGCACGUAGGCGGACUUGUCAGUCAGGGGUGAAAUCCCGGGGCUCAACCUCGGAACUGCCUCUGAUACAGCAAGUCUUGAGUCCGGAAGAGGUGGGUGGAAUUCCUAGUGUAGCGGUGAAAUGCGUAGAUAUCGAGAGGAACACCUGCGGCGAAGGCGGGUUGCUGGGCCGAUACUGACGCUGAGGAGCGAAAGCGUGGGGAGCGAACAGG
Molecule: ribosomal RNA, 253 nt
Filed under: uncultured bacterium
Lineage: Bacteria
Description: partial 16S ribosomal RNA
Rfam family: Bacterial small subunit ribosomal RNA
Source: RNAcentral